AUACAUAUAUAUAGAAUUGUUGGUGACAACAGAGAAAUUUGGUAGAAUUCUUUGAAAGAAGAGAACUUUGUAAAACUACGAAGGAAUGCUUGAUUGAUUUUCUACUUCUUCCACCAAUGCCAACAUACAUAUAUAUAUAUAGGUAAAUUGGGACAUUCCCCAUUACCAUUCAUUAUCCAAAAGUCAUGCAUCUAUUUAAUUAGGAACUAAUGAACCUACAUGUAUCUACACAUGUACAAGUGACCCUUCAACAUAUGUAUCUAUUCAUACAUGUAUCUACUAGUGUCUCUUCAACAUUACUAAGAACUUCGCUAUCAAACUCAGUAGCAGUACUUGUCUCCUACUGAAACGAUUCCUUUUCAAGAGGAUUUAUGGCUGUGAUUCAUCUGUGUUUAUUUGUUGGAAAGACCGGUAACACCUAUUGGCAUAGUUAACCAGCUGACAAGGAAGCAUAAUUAUAUUCUAGAGGAUCUCAAUAUUUGCUGUUCUCAAUGUCAUAUGAAAAAAUUGGCUGAUGAAAGGAAGUGAAUUGCAUGUUGUGGUAGAGGACUUGGCAUUUUUGAAGUUGCAAUCCUAUCAAUAAUGCUCCCUGUAGAAUGUUCAAAUCAGAAACUUGUGCCGUUUUUUUUGUGGCCCUUUCCUAGUUGGAGCUAAGGGAGCGUGAUUUCUUAACUAACUUUAUCCAUCUAGUAUCUGAUGUCUUCCUCCAUUCUAUCUUAGACGAUAUGAGGUUGACUCUCCGGCCCCUCAGGUCACUAUUGGAGACUUGUGGCUCUGUAUUAAAGGCAGACCUCUUUCCCUUCACCUCAACUCGAAUAUGGGAAUUGCUUGUUGAACCAAAAAAAUGUUCUUUGCAGUGCAUCUCAAUCAAAUGGGGGCAGAAAUACUAGUUAGUUAUGUGGAGAAUACUUGUAGAGGGCAUUUCGGUGCUUCUAAUCAGUGCGUCAUUGUAUCAUGUAUGUAACACUAUGGGGGUAGAUCUACAAGGGUGGGGUCGUUAGAUCUGAAAUGUAAAUAAAAGAGAUGCAGGAAGGAAUAUGUUGUAUUUGGUCGCUAAUGCGAGUGAAUGGGACCCUCUGAGUUCCUGCAUUCUCACUGCUAGAGUUUCUUCUCAGUGGUGAGCCCUUGCAUUUAUCAAGUAUAUUUUGAUUUUUAUUUUAUGGGUUUUCUUUUUUGUUUUUUCUCUGAAAUGUACAUCAGUAUGAAUGUGUCUGACAUUGCCACAGAUAAGUAGUCACCAUGCUUAUUAGCUUGUAUUGUAACUAUCUGUUAGUCUUUUAUUCGAUAUCUUGCAACAGUAAAAUACUUUUAUUUUCUGCUCUAAAUCGUAAAUAAUGAAUAUUUACAAUGAGUUAGUGG
This is a long non-coding RNA of Cucurbita maxima (winter squash), 1359 nucleotides long. RefSeq lists it as uncharacterized. NCBI's taxonomy places the organism in Eukaryota, Viridiplantae, Streptophyta, Magnoliopsida, Cucurbitales, Cucurbitaceae. The transcript has 3 exons. The record is from RefSeq and is a predicted model, not a curated record.